Molecule: ribosomal RNA, 301 nt
Filed under: uncultured bacterium
Lineage: Bacteria
Description: partial 16S ribosomal RNA
Rfam family: Bacterial small subunit ribosomal RNA
Source: RNAcentral
CAGCAGCCGCGGGAAUACGAGGGGGGCAAGCGUUGUUCGGAAUUAUUGGGCGUAAAGGGUGCGUAGGCGGCCCCGCAAGUCUCAUGUGAAAUCUUCAGGCUCAACUUGAAGUCUGCAUGGGAAACGGCGGGGCUGGAGUAUGGGAGAGGUGAGUGGAAUUCCUAGUGUAGAGGUGAAAUUCGUAGAUAUUGGGAAGAACACCAGUGGCGAAGGCGGCUCACUGGUCCUUUACUGACGCUGAGGCGCGAAAGCGUGGGGAGCGAACAGGAUUAGAUACCCCCGUAGUCCCUGUCUCUUAUAA